AUUGAACGCUGGCGGCAGGCCUAACACAUGCAAGUCGGGCGAGCGGCGAGCGGGUGAGUAAUGUAUGGGGAUAUGCAUGAUGGAGGGGGAUAACUACAGGAACAUGUAGCUAAUACCGCAUACCAUCAGAUGACCCCAUAUGGGAUUAGCUUGUAGUUAAGGUAACGGCUCACCUAGGCGACGAACCCUAGCGGGUCUGAGAGGAUGAUCAGCCACACUGGGACUGAGACACGGCCCAGACUCCGACGGGAGGCAGCAGUGGGGAAUAUUGCACAAUGGGCGAAAGCCUGAUGCAGCCAUGCCGCGUGUAUGAAGAAGGUCUUCGGGUUGUAAAGUACUUUCAGUCGGGAGGCGUUACCGACAGAAGAAGCACCGGCUAACUCCGUGCCAGCAGCCGCGGUAAUUC
Molecule: ribosomal RNA, 406 nt
Filed under: uncultured bacterium
Lineage: Bacteria
Description: partial 16S ribosomal RNA
Rfam family: Bacterial small subunit ribosomal RNA
Source: RNAcentral